RNAcentral lists this unclassified non-coding RNA (1946 nucleotides) under uncultured fungus. RNAcentral's name for it is "sequence contains 18S rRNA gene, ITS1, 5.8S rRNA gene, ITS2, 28S rRNA gene". The stretch from base 834 to 1946 matches the Rfam family "Eukaryotic large subunit ribosomal RNA", at positions 1 to 961 of the family's 3401-position model. Lineage: Eukaryota; Fungi. The record is from RNAcentral.
GGAAGGAUCAUUAAAACGUAUCCACGUAUCAACCAACUGUGAACUUGUUUUCAACCCUCUCCCUUCAUAGAAACAUGAAUUGGAAUGAAUAGAAGUAUUGAGUGGGACUCGCAAGAGUCAGCUUUUAUUCAUCACUUGCAGCAAUGCAGACAAUUGUAGUUUUUACGAAGGCAUAAACCUUCUUAUUAUGUUGCUCUCCAUUCAAGAGUGAUGUAGUAGGAUACAACCAUAAACACCCAUUUCACCCCCUUUUUGCUAGUUGACUUUUUAUAUGUUGUUUGAUAUAUAAUUCAUUUUAUAUGUGAUUCACACGUUUAUUACUUGAACGUUAAAAAAUACAACUCUUAGCAAUGGAUAUCUAGGUUCUCGCAACGAUGAAGAACGCAGCGAAAUGCGAUACGUAAUGCGAAUUGCAGAAUUCAGUGAAUCAUCAAAUCUUUGAACGCAAAUUGCGCUCUUGGGUAGCCCUAGGAGCACGCCUCUCUCAGUAUCGGUUCAACAAUCACUCAGCAGCGUUGCAAAACGUGUUGGCUGGAUAAUGAGAGUCUGAAUGCUAGUCAUUCAGUCUCUUUAAAUUCAUGGAGUGAAUUUAUACUAACUACUCUCGUUCGAAUUUAUUUCGAUAGCUCAGUCUCUGACUGUUGCUUUGUGAGUGACGUGAAUACUGACCUUUAUGGUCUCCUCUUUUACGUGUAUCUUGCAAACAAUUAUUAAGUCUAGGAUAGAGUGAAGAAGGUAGACUCAAAUUAGUAUCAUUCAUGUAUCGUGGCUAUAUGUAAGAAAAGCUACAAUCGACCUGUUAUUCAUUUUAUUGUGAAGACGAGUCUGAAUUUUGAUCUGAGAUGAAGCGAGACAACCCCCUGAAUUUAAGCAUAUUAAUAAGGGGAGGAAAAGAAAAUAACAAUAAUGCCCCUAGUAACGGCGAGUGAAGCGGGCAAAGCUCAAUUUGAAAAUCGACUACCUAAACGGGUCGUCGAGUUGUAGCCUAGAGACGUACUAUCAGCUGUAACCUGGGUAUAAGUUCUUUGGAAUGAGGCAUCAUAGAAGGUGAGAAUCCUGUAUAUGACCCAAAGCUUUCAGCGUACGAUGUAUGUUCAUCGAGUCGAGUUGUUUGGGAUUGCAGCUCUAAAUGGGAGGUAAGUUUCUUCUAAAGCUAAAUAUAGGCGAGAGACCGAUAGCGAACAAGUACCGUGAGGGAAAGAUGAAAAGAACUUUGAAAAGAGAGUCAAAUAGUACUUGAAAUUGCUAAGAGGGAAGCGCUGAAAACCAGUGAUACGCGUAGUUAAUCGCUUUUGGCCCCUCUGGAUCAUGUUUAUAGUUGGAUAACUCUAUCUGCAUGCUCGAAAAGGAGGUCAUAGGUUUAUGAUCAUGUGUCAGUCAAGAUCAAUUCGAAUUGUGGGAGAAGGCAGUGAGAAAGGUAGGAGAGCAAUCUCUGUUAUAAUCUCAUUGUUUUACCUCGGCUUGGAUUGAGGAAGUAAUAGUGCGCUGCUUGCGGCUUAGUCCUAUGCUCCUAUUGUUUUAUUUGUGUUCAUAGCAAUGCUAUGUGUAUGAAAAAGAGCAAUACUGAGUAUGGUGACUCUAUGUGCUAUCACGAUCUUGUACGAAAUGGUUUUCAUCGACCCGUCUUGAAACACGGACCAAGGAGUCUAACAUCUAUGCAAGUGUUUGAGUGAAAAACUCUGACGCGUAAUGAAAGUAAAGGUAGACUUGUUCUGCUGAGGUAGGAAUCCGGUAACACGGAGGCACUAUCGACCGAUCAUCACUUGUGAAAGAUUUGAGUAAGAGCAUAUCUGUUGGGACCCGAAAGAUGGUGAUCUAUGCCUGAACAGGGUGAAGCCAGGAGAAAUUCUGGUGGAGGCUCGUAGCGAUACUGACGUGCAAAUCGUUCGUCUGAUUUGGGUAUAGGGGCGAAAGACUAAUCGAACCAUCUAGUAGCUGGUUCCCUC